AGUCGAGGGGUAGAGUUCUUCGGAAUUUGAGACCGGCGCACGGGUGCGUAACGCGUAUGCAAUCUACCUUUUACAGAGGGAUAGCCCAGAGAAAUUUGGAUUAAUACCUCAUAGUAUAAUGACCCGGCAUCGGGAUAUUAUUAAAGUCACAACGGUAAAAGAUGAGCAUGCGUCCCAUUAGCUAGUUGGUAAGGUAACGGCUUACCAAGGCUACGAUGGGUAGGGGUCCUGAGAGGGAGAUCCCCCACACUGGUACUGAGACACGGACCAGACUCCUACGGGAGGCAGCAGUGAGGAAUAUUGGACAAUGGGCGCAAGCCUGAUCCAGCCAUGCCGCGUGCAGGAUGACGGUCCUAUGGAUUGUAAACUGCUUUUAUACGAGAAGAAACACUACUUCGUGAAGUAGCUUGACGGUAUCGUAAGAAUAAGGAUCGGCUAACUCCGUGCCAGCAGCCGCGGUAAUACGGAGGAUCCAAGCGUUAUCCGGAAUCAUUGGGUUUAAAGGGUCCGUAGGCGGUUUAAUAAGUCAGUGGUGAAAGCCCAUCGCUCAACGGUGGAACGGCCAUUGAUACUGUUAAACUUGAAUUAUUAGGAAGUAACUAGAAUAUGUAGUGUAGCGGUGAAAUGCUUAGAGAUUACAUGGAAUACCAAUUGCGAAGGCAGGUUACUACUAAUGGAUUGACGCUGAUGGACGAAAGCGUGGGUAGCGAACAGGAUUAGAUACCCUGGUAGUCCACGCCGUAAACGAUGGAUACUAGCUGUUGGAAGCAAUUUCAGUGGCUAAGCGAAAGUGAUAAGUAUCCCACCUGGGGAGUACGUUCGCAAGAAUGAAACUCAAAGGAAUUGACGGG
RNAcentral lists this ribosomal RNA (851 nucleotides) under Flavobacterium sp. 001xTSA12A_E02. RNAcentral describes it as "bacterial SSU rRNA". It matches the Rfam family "Bacterial small subunit ribosomal RNA", at positions 60 to 917 of the family's 1533-position model. Lineage: Bacteria; Pseudomonadati; Bacteroidota; Flavobacteriia; Flavobacteriales; Flavobacteriaceae. The record is from RNAcentral.